UGGGUUGUAGCUCAGUGGUAGAGCGCCUGCCUCCAAUGCAUGAGGCCCUGGGUUGGAUCCCGGCACUACAU
This 71-nucleotide transfer RNA is filed under the name Ictidomys tridecemlineatus (thirteen-lined ground squirrel). RNAcentral's name for it is "Spermophilus tridecemlineatus (thirteen-lined ground squirrel) tRNA". It matches the Rfam family "tRNA". Rfam says of the family: Transfer RNA (tRNA) molecules are approximately 80 nucleotides in length. Their secondary structure includes four short double-helical elements and three loops (D, anti-codon, and T loops). The record is from Rfam by way of RNAcentral. Lineage: Eukaryota; Metazoa; Chordata; Mammalia; Rodentia; Sciuridae.